AGUAGACGUUCAGAGUUUGAUCCUGGCUCAGGAUGAACGCUAGCGAUAGGCUUAACACAUGCAAGUCGAGGGGCAGCAUAUUCGAAGCUUGCUUUGAAUGAUGGCGACCGGCGCACGGGUGCGUAACGCGUAAAGAACUUGCCUCACAGUUUGGGACAACAUUUGGAAACGAAUGCUAAUACCGAAUAUUAUGAGACUGUCGCAUGACGGUAUCAUGAAAGCUAUAUGCGCUGUGAGAGAGCUUUGCGUCCCAUUAGCUAGUUGGAGAGGUAACGGCUCACCAAGGCGAUGAUGGGUAGCCGGCCUGAGAGGGUGAACGGCCACAAGGGGACUGAGACACGGCCCUU
Molecule: ribosomal RNA, 347 nt
Filed under: uncultured bacterium
Lineage: Bacteria
Description: bacterial SSU rRNA
Rfam family: Bacterial small subunit ribosomal RNA
Source: RNAcentral